UAUUGUUGUUUAUUUACAAGAAAAAUAAUUAUUACUAACGUAAAUUUUCGUCAUGGGUAGGAAGCUUCUACGAAGCUUCACCGGCAUUAAUUCGGUUAAACCCACCUUCUCAUUAAUUUCCUCCAUAAAUAACCUUUCAAAAACACAGAAACGACCCACCCUGUACCCUUUCCCUGUCGAUCGCUUCUUCUUUCAAAAAAAGAAAAAAAAAACAAGAAAAUGAUGUGGUAGUAAUUUUUGUCAUGCUCAGCCUGGUCGCCGCCGUGGACGAGGUCCUGGAAUUUUCGCGGUGGCUCGUGAGCCAUGGAAAAUCACUACCAACAUCAUUUUCUUGUUUUGUUUUUUCUUUAGCUCCCCGAAGUCGAAGACUCCUAGGAGGGUGCCAUGGCCGAGGGGGCCUUCGCGGGAUUCCCCAAGCAAAUUAGAAGGCACCUUUGCCGUUUAUCGAGGAGAUUUUCCUCGUAAUUUAGCAAGGCCGUGACUCCGAGGUGCGGCGGCCUAUUAAUGAAGUCCUCGCCGGAAGUCGGAUGGUAGAAGAAGCACACCCGGUGCUGAUCUGCGUGGGUCCCAAUUAAGAGUUGAGCGUGACACAGAUUUAUAAAAUUUCAAUAACAAUUUGGGUUUAACAUAUUAAUCGACAUUUCAAUUUUUAAGGAAAUAAACUUUGCCUCUGUUGUAUGUAAACCCUCUUUAUUGCCACCGUAAGAAAAAGGAGGGUUCGUCAUA
Salvia miltiorrhiza (redroot sage) is the source of this 726-nucleotide long non-coding RNA. RefSeq lists it as uncharacterized. The record is from RefSeq and is a predicted model, not a curated record. NCBI's taxonomy places the organism in Eukaryota, Viridiplantae, Streptophyta, Magnoliopsida, Lamiales, Lamiaceae. The transcript is spliced from 2 exons.